This 134-nucleotide ribosomal RNA is filed under the name Klebsiella pneumoniae. RNAcentral's name for it is "partial 23S ribosomal RNA". Lineage: Bacteria; Pseudomonadati; Pseudomonadota; Gammaproteobacteria; Enterobacterales; Enterobacteriaceae. The record is from RNAcentral.
GGGUUGUGAGGUUAAGCGACUAAGCGUACACGGUGGAUGCCCUGGCAGUCAGAGGCGAUGAAGGACGUGCUAAUCUGCGAAAAGCGUCGGUAAGGUGAUAUGAACCGUUAUARCCGGCGAUGUCCGAAUGGGGA